ACCCGACUGGCGCAAUGGUAGCGCGUCAGACUUCUAACUUCACUGGUUUGGAUAUAGCGAUCUGAAGGCUGUGGGUUCGACCCCCACGUUGGGUU
Tuber magnatum (white Piedmont truffle) is the source of this 95-nucleotide non-coding RNA. The record is from the annotation of a GenBank genome assembly. NCBI's taxonomy places the organism in Eukaryota, Fungi, Ascomycota, Pezizomycetes, Pezizales, Tuberaceae.